RNAcentral lists this long non-coding RNA (37771 nucleotides) under Arabidopsis lyrata. RNAcentral's name for it is "long non-coding RNA (ALYR_LNC000805)". The stretch from base 19365 to 19427 matches the Rfam family "tRNA". Lineage: Eukaryota; Viridiplantae; Streptophyta; Magnoliopsida; Brassicales; Brassicaceae. The record is from RNAcentral.
AACAUCUAAAGUUUGUUUAUAUUAUUAUAGCUCAUAUCUACUUUUUAUGUUAUCUUCCCAGCUUGUAUCACAUCAUUUUCGUACUUUAAAAUGUUGGAAAAUCAAUUUGAGAAGUAUGACUAAUAAUUUUACUUGCCUCUAAUAUAAUAUUUGAUUUUGACUGUCGUUUCACUAAACAUUUCAAAUCAUUAAAGCAAGUACCUUUCGAGACCAUUAUUAACGGUUUUGAUUCAUUAGAAGGAAAUAUCAGGAGAAGACUCUAAAUUGGUAUCUAUAAUCUAUGUAUCGGAAAAACAGAAGUGCAUUACUGCAUCGUAUUCAAAAUGUCAUGUAAGUUAAUAUCCAAGAGGGGAUAAGGUGAAUUUGGGUCAUAGGUCAUAAGAACUUUUAAGCCCAUUAUUGGAUAGUGUCCCCAAUAAUCAUAACCGAUGGGUCCAUGCACGUUGCAAACACACGCUUCACCCACUACCACAACCACAGCCACAACGAGAACCCGUAAAGUAGCAACUCUUUCCCUUAGAAAAGAAAUAGAUAAUACAUGUCUAUUAGUUGAUUUCCUCUCAUGCAUGAUCCAGUUUCAGGCUAUUUAGGGGUUUUGUUGUUGGAUUCCACUCAAGUUAUCUAUUUGAAUCACAAAUUUUCAAGGUUUUAUAUAAAUUAAUCCCACAUUAGAAAAUGACAUAAUCUUAUUAUUAUUAAACAAUACACAUGAGCUAAUUCAUUCAUUAAUUUAUUUAUUUUUGAUCAAAUUUAUUCAUUACAUACCAACAAAUUUUUAUAAAUUAAAAUGAAAUCUCAUAAGCGUGAAAUUAUGCUAUGAGUUAUGCUGAUUAGGAUCUUGGCCCAACAUAAAACAACAAUUACUAAAGAGCACAUAUGAUACAAUACAUAUAAGUUUAUACUCCCUCCGUCGUUUUAAGGUUUUAAUCUCGUUUCACAAAGAAUGUCGUUUUGUGUUUUCAAUGCAUGUUUAAAUACUAAUUCUCUUUUUUGUCCCUACUAUUUUAGCUUAUUAAUUAGAGAGAGAGCAUUAUUUAGUGUAUUAAUAAGGGGUAGAAAUAAAAUUUGUUUACUUUUCUUAAUUUGUGUGAAAAAUGGUAGAAUGACACUCUUUGUGAAACAGAUGGAGUAUAGAUGGAGUAUAUGAUUGAUAGUGAAAUCAAAUAGAUUCAUCCUAUUGAGAAGUGUGACAAUGCAUCAUACCAAAAAAUGAUAUAGCUGGUUUUGGUAAUGAGAAGCUUUCUAGAAACGUGGGGAAGAGUGUAGAAGAGUAAAUUGUUUUUUUUUUUCCUUAAAGAAUAAAUAGUUUAAGGAUGGAAUGUUUCGAUGACUCCAUGACAAAAUCCUUGCUUUUUUGCCAGGGUAAUUAGUGCCCUUUUAUUAUUAUGGUUGACAAUAAUAAAGGAUAAAUAAUACGGAAUAUGUUGAAAAAGAAAUGGAAUAUAAUACGAAGAAGAAAGGUAGAUAAACUUUUGUUAGAAACCAAAGAAGGUGGGGAACAAAAUUAAGACCACAAAGUGAAAAAUUUAGAGUUGUAAAGAUGUAGUGAUGUACAUCGUAAUAGCUAGCUAUAGGCACUGAGGCACAUAUAUAGGGUAAAAUAAUGUUAUAAUUAAAAGGAAAAACUAGUUCACUAAAAUAAAGGGGAGGUUAAGAAUUUUAGUUAGACACAUUCCAUUGCAUCCAUUGAAUUAUGUAACGAGGAAUUUGGUAAAUGGUUAUCGAUGACGAUAAUGUUUGUUGCUUCUUCUUCGAAAUAUCAGUGGCAAAAACACAACGCCGUUAAAUUAUGGACUAAUAUUAAAGUUGAAUUAAAUACCAAACUCAUAAAUGGGAAAAGCUUUAAGCUUUAAAGAGUUUGUCGUGGGCCAAUGGAAUGUUGGGAAGAGCUUUUGGGCUGUCUACUUAGUGCGAUCAAUUGGAGGAAGAAGACGAUCGAAGAAGAUGAAGAUGACGAUAAUAAGAAGGAACAUUUUCUUUUCUUUUUUUCUUUCAAAAAGAAUGUUUUCUAAAUUGGGUUGUCAAGAUAAUAUUAUUCCCUUUUAUUGUUGAAUCGUGGUGUGUGUUGCAGUCAUAGAUUCUUAGUAAUGAAUGAAUAUACUAUAGGUUUGGUGGUUAUUGUGGAUUUGUGUGUGCGUAUGAGUGGGUAUAAAAGAUAAGGGUCUUUUUUUUUCGGUGUCCCCAUGAAGAGAUUUGUGUCUAUGUAAGAACCAACUUUUCCUCCUUUUUAUUCACCAGACAUCACCCACCCCUUCAUCAUUGUGCACAUUUACGUUUUUAUAUAUGUAUGUAUGACUGUGUAUACACAUAAUGCAUGUACCAAGUAUGUAUAGGGUUAUCAUUGUGAAUCUAAGUCCGUCCCACACUAGGACGAAAAUGAGUUAAAACUGAUCUGCAAUCCGGUUGAGCUGGUUGAUUUUAUUAAGACUAAUAUUUUCUUGAUUCUAGGGUAUAACAAAGAAAGAUAUGAGGUGUUGAACCAAAUUUUCAGAAAAAUUGUAGUGCUAAUGAUGUGUCACACACAAUAUGGAUUCGUUUAAAUUAUUGAAUAAAGUGUGGGUUAAUGGCCCGGCCCAGUUAGCCCAUACUAGAGCCCAUCUCUUUUAAAUACAAUGUGUGUUAGAAGCCUUUCUCAUGUCAUGUGGAAGAGAGAAGACAAAACAAACACAACACUGAGCCGUUUUGCUGGAAAUGACUAUUGCGAGAUUUUUUUCCCUUUUCGAUCCCGUCUCAAUGAAUGAUGUUGCACUAUGAUAAAUCGCCAAAAAUUCCAAUAUUACCAAAUAUAAUAAUAUGCCAAAAAGAUUAAAAAAAAAAAAGUUGCCUGUCUAUAUCACAGAAAAAAUAAUUUAAUAACUUAUCGUUACAAGCCAAUUAAUAAUAAUCUGCACUGAAAAGUUGGCAUUUCGAGGAGAAGAAGAGAGAGUGAUGGAAUUGCAAGGAGUGGAAAGCAAAGCGACGACGUAUUGCGUGACGGGUGCAAGUGGAUACAUAGGUUCUUGGUUGGUUAAGUCUCUUCUCGAAGGAGGCUACACAGUCCAUGCCACUCUCAGAGAUCUUGGUAUUUUUUUUUGUUUUCAAACUUUGUCCGUGUCUUGUUUAUAUCGAAUCCUGGGUAGUUUACACAAUCUUUUAAAACACAUGUGAAUUAAUUGGUUAUUUUGACUAAAACUUGGACUGUUUUUUUUUGUAAUUUGAAGUCUUCAUAGUUAAACUAAAAAGCUUUUUAUUCGUCUUGACAGGAAAAUCUCAAUACUUUCAAUCUAAAUGGAAGGAAAAUGAACGGCUUAGAUUAUUCCAAGCGGAUCUUCAAGAUGACGGCAGCUUCGAUGAGGCCUUUAAGGGCUGCGACGGCGUCUUCCAUGUCGCCGCUUCCAUGGAGUUUGAUAUCUCAUCAGAUCACGUCAAUCUCGGUACGACCUUUUUGUUGCACCGAUCAUUUUUCUGUUUUUUGGCACAUUGCCUAAACCGCUCUCAACCCGUAAGUAUUGGAAGCUAACCGAUAAAAACCGGGUUUUGUUGGAUUGAAUGGGCAGAGAGUUAUGUCCAGAGCAAAGUCAUAGAUCCGGCGGUAAAAGGCGUACGGAAUGUUCUUGGUUCUUGUCUUAAGUCAAAGUCAGUCAAAAGAGUUGUCUUCACAUCAUCCAUCAGCACUCUCACUGCCAAAGAUGAUAAUGAACGGAUGACAUCUUUCGUGGAUGAAACUUGCAAGGCUCAUGUUGAUCAUGUCAUUAAAACACAAGCAAGUGGAUGGGUAAAAUACUAUUACAAUAGUAUAGUUAGGUUAAAAUGCCUUGCAAUCUCAUUGUGCGGCAUCGUUAACAAGUUUAAAUUUCGUGUGUGCGAUAGAUUUAUGUACUAUCGAAGCUCGUAUCAGAGGAAGAAGCAUUUAGAUAUGCAAAAGAGAGAGGAAUGGAUCUUGUUUCAGUCAUUACAACUACUGUUUCAGGUCCAUUUCUUACUCCUAAUGUCCCAUCAAGCGUUCAAGUUCUCUUAUCCCCAAUAACAGGUCCAUUUAUAACACAAACAUUUUCCAUUGUGAUAUAUAAGUUAAAAAUGUUGGGCUUAAUCAACCAGUUUGAUGCUUACAUUAUGACAAAACAGGUGACUCAAAGUUGUUUCCAAUAUUAUCAGCUGUGAACAAAAGAAUGGGUUCGAUUGCUUUGGUACACAUUGAAGAUAUUUGCAGAGCGCAUCUGUUUUUGAUGGAACAGACAAAGGCUAAAGGUCAAUAUAUAUGUUGUGUUGACAAUAUUGAUAUGCAUGAAUUGAUGCUUCAUCACUUUUCUAAGAAGUAUCUUUGUAAAGUUCUAAAGUAAGUUCUACAAUCUUUAGUGUUUUUAUCAAUUCUUUCUUUGAUUUAUUCAGACUAUAGAUUUUUUUAAAUUAUUAUUCUUGGUUUGUAGGGUAAAUGAAGACGACAAAGACAGACAAUGUAUGAAGCCUAUAAUUUCUUCAAAGAAGUUAAGAGAAUUGGGUUUUGAGUACAAAUAUGGUAUUGAAGAAAUUGUUGAUCAGACAAUUGAUGCUUCUAUCAAGUUUAAGUUCCCUACCAUGAACCACAAACUAAAGCACUAAGAUCAACAGCGAUUAUCUUCUUUGUUUUACUGGAUUGGACUAUUAUGAUUCUUAGAAUCUAUUUAUAAAGUGUUUUCAAUCCCAUUUUUUUUUGUUUUUAAUGGUCACUGUUCACUCUGUCAUCUUAAUAUGUUUGAACAUUUAAAAUGAUGGAUCCUACUAGCUCAGAGUCGAAGUUCUAAUUGUGUUCUAAGUACUUCUAGUUUUGUCGUCACUUUUGAUGCAAGCUUUGUCUCAGUGCAUUUGCAAAUAGGUAUGGACCAUUUAGCUUUUCAAAUAAUAUGCUAGCUACGAUUUAUGUUCUUUUUGUUCUCUUGUUCGCUCAUCGUUUCAAUAAGAAACAAAAGCACGACCAUAGACAUGUUUGAUGUAAGCAGAAUUUAAUCUUUUCUUUUUAUGAUUCAAAUUUGAUUUUUUAGUUUAGCUCAAGCCGCUAAUUAAUUGUGGGAAACAAAAGUUCACCAAUUCCAUUUUCAUUUACUAGAGUUCAUUACCCUGCGCAAAGUUUCUUACACGAUGAAGGCAUAAAAAGGGCAUUAAAAAAUGAUCAAUUUAUCUCUUCUUUGAGACUUACUAUUUGUUUACCAGUUAUUGUCUGGAAUUUGGCAUUUACCAAUAUUCUCCACCCGUGAAACAAAGCCUCUAUCUGACGCUCUUCAACCUCCAUUCCUUUAUUUCGUGCAACAACCCCAUUAUUCCCUCUUCACAUGAACCCAUAACAUCAAUUAUUACACCACGAACAAAAACAUUUCGUCUUUUUUCAACUUAGAGGAUCAGUCUCAACACAAUAUGAAUAAAAGCCUUACUUUUUGAGCUUGAGGUUACAACUUACAAGUAAACAAAUGUUUUGCUACAAAUCUAAAGACUUUUCACAUCACUUGGUUUCAAGAAGAAAUGCACAUGAAUUUACCAAACCAAAAGUUAGUCAAAUCUUUUAUGUAUGCAAAUAGAAACUUGAACUCAAGUAACAAGAAAACCUGAAAAUGAUGCAAGCCAAAAAUAUACUAGCUUCUUUAUUUAAAACGUUGUUCAAAAGAGUGUAAAUGAUACUAGCAAAAAGUUUUCAAUCAUUUUGUUAGAAGUUUUGCUUAAAAACAUUUCUUUCUGAAAGCUACGAUUACCAAAAUACCAAAUUUGCGUUUUCGAAACUCUCUAGUUAACACAACUUAUCAACCAAAACUUGCCAUUUCUUUCAUCGAAAGUUUGGUUCAACGUUUGCAAAUCAGCACAAAACAAGGAAGCAACGCUCGAGAAUUGAGCAAAUAAAGCUCCUCAACAUUUGUGUACAACCCAACUUUACCGGCCAAAGAAUCAAACCCAUUCAAUAACCCACCCAUCUCCUCUAAAUUCUCCACCGGCCGAUGAACCCUCCCGGCAAUCACCCGACACACUAUCAACGCCUUCCGAUCACUACCACCACCGUCGUCAAUCACAAUUGACUCAAACGCCCUCUCACUCGUCGACGCAGUAAAAACCCCAAUUCCGUUAUUCAUCUCCCGUUUCGCCGAGAACCCAUUUCGUAUAAUCCGACAAACGCAGCAUUUUUCCGACGAACACAAACUCGUCGACCCGUUUAUCCCUAAAGCGCAAGCGACGGUGGUGCCGUGAAACCUGAGAAGCUCGUUUCCGUCGGCGAUACAUCUCGGGUGCUUCUUUUGUAGCUUGCUUGCUCUGAUCUUCACCGUAUCUCUGUAUUCCUCGAAUCUUGCUAAGGUUUUUUGCAUGUUGUGCACUUUCAAGAUCCGGUCGAUUCUCCCGCCUUGAUUCUCUGUCUUUAACCAGCUUGUUCUGCAGAUUAUCUCCACAAUUUUCCUCGAUGAGUCUCCUUCCAUGAGCUCAGUCACUGAAUAAAUUUGGGUUAAAAUGAAUCUCUGUAACCUAAUUGUGAAAUUCGAAGAUGAAAUUUACGAACUUUGGGAACACCUUUGCUAUAAAAGUAUGAAAUUCGAAGAUGAAGUUUGGGGAAAUUUUUGCAAUGAGAUUGAUUAUUUACCGGCGUGUUUGGUGAGAUGAUGAGCUUCUGCAGCUUCGAGUUUGCUAAAUUUCUCGCCGCAUUUAUGGCAAGAAACAGAGGAAUUGUCUCCAUUAAUGGCGGAAUCUCUAUCUCUCUCUCUUCUGCUUUGGUGAAACCCUAAUCCUUCUUUGUCUAAAGAAGAAGCCUUUCUCGACGCUUGGCUCCGGCGUGAAGAAGAGUAAUUCACUGGCGUCCCUGGCGUCAGUGUCCCCACGAAUUCAGUUGCUCCGGCGGCGGUGAUCUUGAGCUCGCAGGUGGAGUUGCUAAAGAUUACAUCGUGAGUAAUGGGAUUGAGAAACUCGCUGCUUCCAAUAGAACGAGGGCUAGAGCAAAGCGGCUUCUCCAAAUGCCGUUGGUUUCCAUGGAUUACGUCUUUGAGAUUGGCUAUGGAUCUGGAACAACCGGACCGGCCACCGACUCCUCCUCCGGAGGUGGUUGUUGUUCUCUUAGUGGAUAUGGGAGUGAGCUCUUUUCUGGAUCUCGGAAUGUGGACAUCGGAGACAUCAGAUUUGCAGGGGAGAGAUUUCUUCAAUGAAAACCAAACACUGGGUAGCUUUUUGAUCUUCUGAAUAUCGGUAUUUUCUCUCUGAAUCGUCUUCUUCUUUUUCUUCUCGCUUCUUGUGCUUGAAGCUUCCAUUUUUUCUCUUCUGUUUUGUCUUCUAAAGACAAUGGAGAACGAAAGAAGCAAAAAAAAAGUGACCUAAGAAGCAAAAAUUGAAAUGAAUGGUAGAGAGUUUCUAUUUUUUGAAUUGGAGAAGCUUCUUCUUCUGGCAAUUUUCUAGGGAGAGAUAGUAAAGGAAGGAAAAUAAAUUAUUAUUAGAGUUUUUGUCGUCAGAACUCUGAAGCUAAGACGAUACAUAAAAUUUUGUCCCAAAAAAAAAAAAAAUACAUAAAAUUUAAAAUUAGGGAUUAUGACAGGAAAAUACUCCCAAAAAUGUAUUUUAGACUCCCAAUAAUGUUUGUUUUUUCAUCAUUGUUGAAUUCAUAUGUAUUUGGAGACAUGCGUUGAAUGCUUCAAGAUUGUGUGGUAAAAACGUUUAACCAUUCUAAUAUAUAAUUCCUAGACGUAAAAAAAAAAAAAAAAAAAAAGACAUGGGUUGAUGGUAAUAUUAAAAGUCUUGAAUAUGGACAGCACAACGCAAAGUACAAACCAAGCGGAAUAAAUGUGGUUUAACGUAAAAUGGAUGGAACAAAUAGUGUGAAACCGAUAUAAAGAAAUUUGAAUGGAGUUCGUAUUUACUUCUAAUAAAUUUUCUUUUAUGUUGUUUGAUACGUCAAGACUCAAGACAACAGUUAUCGUACUUAGGUAACUUAGAUAUCUAUGGUACUAUUUGACUCACGAGGCCACAGUAGAUUUGGUUGUCUUCAGACUAAAAAUACAAGUAUGUACAAUCUCACAUUUCCCAAAUCUAAUGCUUCCAAUAUGUUUGCAUAGUUUUGCUGUUUGAAUUGUAUUUAAACUUGUUUGUAUUUAAAUAGUUUAAAUACAAAAAAGUAUUUAAACUAUUUAAAUUUUCAUAUACUGUUGGACAACGAUACUUCCACAAUAUGUGUUUGUCCUUCGAACAACCAUUCGAGUCAAGAAACAAAAAAAAGAUUGGAAGUAUUGAUUUGUCAAGACCAACGAAUACAAAAAUGAAAUUUAACUUUUGGAGUUGCAGAACGUAUUAUUGUCAUUUUUUUCAGAAGAUCUCAUUUCCACAAUAAUCUAAAAAGCUGUAUGUUUUCAUAAAUUUCCAAUUACUUUUUCAUUUUCUUUCGUAACACGAAUAAUGACUAUGUUGAAGCAUUAAAGACAUUUCGACAUCCUACACUAAAGAACAAUUCAAGUGUUGUGAUCCACCGAUCUUUUGUAUGAAAGGUUGGUAACAUCAUAACCAUCCCACCAUGUCCAUGACACGCACUUUUCAAAUGUCUCUAGUGGGUUUACUUUCUUUGUUAUCCAUCUUCGGAAAAAUUAGCUUGAUUUUGAAACUUUAUUGACAAUUGUAGUUCUUUUGUCGUAUACUCGUUGUAUAAAUUAUUCACAACUCUUUUUUCUCCCAAAGCUUGAUUUCUUACUAAAUGAAAAGAUCUGUGGGAUUUUCAGCCACCACAACAUGUCAUACAACUUUCAACUGUUACUAUCCAAAUUUAAUAGACUUGAGCAAAUUAACCAAACCGAAUGUACAUAAUCAAAAUCGAAAAAAAAAACCAAACCGAAUCGAACCGAAAAUUUGAAAACACUGAAUGGAUCCUAAAUUUUAGAACCGGAACCGAACCGAUGAAAUAUUUCGAAUAUUCGAAAAUACCUGAAAUAUAAUUAUAUAUCCAAAAUAUUAGUUAUUUAUAAACCGAACCGGAAUCGGACACCCGAACGCCUAGGACUAAAAUUUAAACCCACAUAGUAGGAUUAGGACGUUCUAAACAAGCUACUGUACAACACACUAUAACUUCUUUGGGUUUUUGAUAAAUAAGAAAAAUAUAAACAAGAAAAUUACAUUUGGGCCGAAUAAUGUUCAAAUAAAAAGGAGGGCUUAUAUAGUUAUAUAUAUAACAAGCCCAACUUGGGCCAUAUAUCCAUUUAAAUUGCCGGAGAAAAAAAAAAAUGACAAAGUGGUGGGAGCACGAGACUGAAAUCAUGUCCGUUAAAGAUAAAACAAUCUAACGGUGCAGAUUAUUGAUCCAUGCAGUGUCAUAUCAUUGGUGAGAAAUACUUUCUUCCCCACUAUAUUAAUCAUCAUGGCGGGUUUUGCUGAAAUUCAUUAUUGCUUUUUUUUUUUUUUGUGACAGAAAAUUCUCAGUUACGCUUCGUCCAUACUUAUUUUUCUUGGGUAGUAGAAAUGGCGGGUCGGGGAAAACAACUUGGAUCUGGUGCGGCGAAGAAGUCUACUUCUCGUAGUAGCAAGGCUGGGCUUCAAUUCCCUGUGGGUCGUAUCGCUCGAUUUUUGAAAGCCGGUAAGUACGCCGAGCGUGUUGGUGCCGGAGCUCCGGUCUAUCUCGCCGCCGUUCUUGAAUACCUCGCCGCUGAGGUAAUCAUUCUCAUAUAUAGAUCGCCUGUUUAAUUUUUGCCGAAAGGGAUGGUUUUGGCUUGCAUCUCUCGCAUCUAGUGUUCUGGAUUUUAGAUUUUAAUGACCCCUUUGGUUGAUUUUGUGCGAAAUUGGAAAUAUUUUAGAAUGCAUUGGUUUCUUUACUUUUUUUUUGAGGAAAAUUGCCAUUUUGUGUGUGGUUUGAGUCUCAAAUUUUGCUUCUUGUGCUGAUCGAAAUUAGGGUUAGAUUUUGUUCUUUACCAAUUUGAGUUACCAUAAUCAAGAGGUUUUGUUGUUCACUUAGUUUUUGCUUUGGAUAUGUAAACAUGUGUUCAUGGGAACUGAAUUUCUAUAGGUUCUUGAGCUCGCUGGGAACGCAGCAAGAGAUAACAAGAAGACCCGUAUUGUUCCUCGACACAUUCAACUUGCUGUGAGGAACGAUGAGGAACUAAGCAAGCUACUUGGAGAUGUGACUAUUGCUAAUGGAGGAGUGAUGCCUAACAUCCAUAAUCUCCUUCUCCCCAAGAAGUCUGGUCCCUCUAAGCCUACUGAGGAAGAUUAGGGAAAGCUGGAAAAUGGUUGAUAUCAGAUAAUGCUUAGGACUGUUUUUGUUUUUUUUUUUUUUAUUUGCUUUUCCUCUGCAGUAAUGGCAGCUGUGUGGUUGUACUAGUUGUUAAGGAUAACUUUGUUUCACUUUGUGUGAAUAGAUGAAGAAUAUUGUUCUCUAUUUGCUUAACUGUUCCAUGGAAUAGAAUGGCCAAUUCAUGACAGAAAUCAAGUUUUACCGUAAUGUUUUAUGUUGACGAGCUCUUCUUUCCUAGAGCCAAUGAGCAAAUCUUUUAAAUUUACUUGAUAAAAGGAAAUAACAAGUGCAAUAAAAAUGACACUCACGUUUUCUAAGUAUCAGUGGCUAAGAGGAAUCACACAGCUCAAACUUUUUUACAAUUUGAAUUCUCUGCAGGUUCAUGAUUUACAUUGUCCCUCCAGAAGGUCCUCAGCCAUGGGAUCUUCUAUUUGAAUUGAAACUGCAGAAGCCUCUGCUCUCUCUAUUGGAUUUAAGCUGCAGCUCCAUUGACAGGAGAUUGCAAGUGAGGCAACUAUUAUGCAUCUGUAAGUCCAUGAUUACAUUGUAGCUAGAAAAGCUCCUCAGCAAUGUGAUUAUGAUCUAUUAGAAACUGGAGAAGCUUCUAAUCUCUCUUAAUAUUUGUGGGAGAUCUGCUCACAAUAGACUCAAAGAGAGCCAGUUAGUAUAUUUCCAUCAGCUGGUACAAAACGAGGUUGAAGGGUUUCUCUUGUAGUGUUAUCAUCCCAAGAUAAAUUGUUCCACCAGUGUCUUUCUCCUCUUACUUCUUUGACUUUAUGAGCUUUACUUGAGCUAAUGGGUAGAUUCUUGAGAAGAUUGCAUCUUAUCACUUCCACAUGUUCUAAAGAUCCCCAGGACCCUUUUUGGCUACAUAAUCUGUUUAACCGCGGGAGAUUCGUCAGCUUUAUGAUACGCAGAGCAGGCACCAAGGGUUCAGUGGAGGCUGAAAAUUCUCCUGGAGAAUAGUCGAACAGCUCCUGAAGCUUUUCACAAAAGCUAACGUGUAUCUCUUGUAGGUUCGGCAGGAAACAGAUUAAGUUCCCUAACGAGAGAAGGCAUUUAAGCCGGCUACAUCUGCUGACUUCUAGAUGUUUCAGUGUCUGAAAUCUCAACCCCAGAUGACCCACGAGCUCACUAAUGGUUUCCAGAUUUACACGACGCAGAUGAAGUUCUUCGAGGUUAGGUAGAAGAUCCAGCUGCGCGACACAUCCACCAGCGGGCCUUAUACUUCCACCAAAACUAUCUACCGUUAGAGACCUCAAAACGUUGAAGCUACUUGUGCUAUCAAUUACCAAGUUUUCCAGCAUCUCGUUGAGACCCCAGCAAUGGUUCAUUACUAGGGAAGUUGUGUUCACUAGCAACCACCCAAUGAAUGCCUCUGAAACAUUGAGACUACUUAUUGUCACUCUCCUCUUGUCAUGUCUACUAGGUAAGGAGUUUGCAGUUGGGCCAAUAAACAACUGGAAUUUCUUUAACUUUUCUAUCCAAGAAUUGUAUUCAGGGGAAAGAGGUGGAACACAUACAACCCUGAUGGAGAGAACCAAUAAACAAUGGAGACACGCAAUGUCUUCAAGUGUUGCUUGCCCUUCUUGAGUUUGUCCUUGGACGCCCCAGUGGAAAUGACUAAGCGUCAUGUCUAGAACCUCUAAACUCGAUAAAUGUUGGAUGAUUCCAGCUGGAAUGCUUUCGAGGUGAUGUGUUCGGGAGAGGUCAAGUAGUCUCAAGCUGUUCAAAGUUUCCAACCCUGUUGGCAAUUCCUUUAUACGAGUGGCACAGAGAUCCAGAACUUGAAUUUUUGUAAGCUUUUCGAGGGAAGGAACUUCUUCGAGGUAGUAGCAGUCUCUCAAGAUGAGAGAUCGAAGCUCAUGAAGCUCGCUGAGGGAUAGAGGCAAUGAACUUAUGCGUGUCCCACUUAAAUUCAGAAUCCGAAGUGCUGGAAAAGAUAGCAAGAACCCCACAGGUAAUGCCUCAAGGUGAAAAUUUCCUUGUAGCAGUAAAGCCGAGAGUUCAACACACUCUACCACCUGAUCGGGGAGCUUUUUAAGCUUAUUGUUCAUCAAAGAAACUCUUCGGAUAGAAGGAAAAUACUUCUCCAAUGGAAACUCGCGCAAGCCUAUGCCAGACAUGACAAGAGAGUGACUAUCAUCUUGCGAGGAAGACAUGACCCAUAUGGCAAAUCUCUAUAAUUAAAUGAAUGAUCAAAAAUAUCCUCCAGACAUGACAAGAGAGUGACUAUCAUCUUGCGAGGAAGACAUGACCCAUAUGGCAAAUCUCUAUAAUUAAAUGAAUGAUCAAAAAUAUCCUCCAGACAUGACAAGAGAGUGACUAUCAUCUUGCGAGGAAGACAUGACCCAUAUGGCAAAUCUCUAUAAUGGUCUCUAUAAUUAAAUAACAAGACAUUGAUGUUGAUAGCUUGAGAUUCGUUCGGGCAAUGAUGAGUUGGCUUUUGAAGUUUCUUUGAAACUUGCCUUGAAGACUCUUUCUCCAUUUUCAGCUACUAGUAAGUCUUCUGGUAUAUUCGUUGAAACUUUCUACUUUAAAUAUUUCAGAACUCUGUUAGGGUCGACUAAUGGUUCCGGUUAGGACAUAUUUCAAUUGUCUUCCUUCAAAUGCUAUUUUUGUGAGGAAUCCCAUGUAACAUAAAAAUUAGACUGAUAUAUAGCAAAUUUGAUGGAGUAAGAAAAACAAAGAACUAAGUACUUACACGUGAGCAUGGAGGCACUUCAUGAUAGGUAGCAAUGACGAUUUGCAGCCUAUUUCUACAUUUCCCGCAUCAUUGCUCAACUAGAAAACUUUCUGAAGUCUGUUGUGGCCUCAGAAAUUUCCACGGCCAUGAAAUCCUUUGUUUGGCAUUAAAGAAGCAUUAGAUCUCCUUAUUGCAAAUGUCAAUCAAACGAAAUUUAGUACAGCUGAAAUUUGGUUUUUAAGUAGAUUCUUGAUGAAAGUCAUUGGCUAUAGUAAUUUAGGAUAUAUGAAAUAAUUAAUCUGGCACACAAAGAUUUUUUGAAUCUCCUUUAUGAUUUCUACUAAUUAACUUAGCGGCGCUAGUUAACAUACAUCUUAGUAUCAUCUAUAGAGUCUCCAUAAGUGCUGGCCAUGUAUAGUUUGUGAUGCUAGCCAUAGAUUCUUUUUGCCAUGGCGAAGCAGAAAUUUUUCUUCUUCAUUUUCGGAACAGAGACAACCAGCAAAAUUUCAGAAGGUACAUCGUAGAGAAGAGAAUGGCACCGUUGUGCGGGGGAAAACAUGGCAAAAUCUCGGAAAACAGUUCAUACAUGCCAUUAGAGUAGCCUAGGAGUGCGACAGGGUUGCAGAACAUGUCUAUUGUGGCCGAUGUAUCUUUUGGAGUGAAUAAUCAACUAAUUUGUUAGACAAUUAUAUAGAUAGUCAAGAACUUGUUUCCAUGAGACAUGAGUAUGAGACACGGUGAUUAACUUGGAUAUUUUCAACGUUCACCCUCGAGUAAAGAAAAUUUCUUUAUGUUGUCAGGGUAACCUUAAAUUAUUCAAAUAACUCAUUUUUCCCAUGCAAGUGGGAAACGUUUAAUAUGAUCAAUAUGUUUGAAAGAGUUUGAUAAAAAAGAAGACUUAACCAUCCAUAAAUAAAUAAAACUCCAGUGGCAACUUAAAAUACCAAUGCACAAAGUCCAACCAUCAAAGUGGAGCCUUUCUUUGUUAGUUUCUUUACUAAAUCAAACCUUCAAAAGUCGUGGUUGCAUGAUGUAUGACAAUGGAGUCCUUUAUAUUAGUGAUCCUUUCACAUUCUAUUUCCGCUAGCAAAAGUGGAGUUGGAGUUCAAUGGAUAUUCUCCUCACGCCCUCCGGAUCGCUCAUGGAAUUUUAAUGGUAAGUUCAAUACUAUUCUGAUUACAUUUUUUUAAAGUUUAAUUUUGGAGAUAAAAUAUUAGUUUCUUAAAAAUUUCUGCAUAUGAUUUAAAUUUGAAUUAUUUUUUCAGUGAAAUAAGAAAAACAAAAGCUUUAAACAUAUGUUGCAGACAUCACGGACGUUAUCAUUGUGUCACUUUAUAAAAAAUUAAAAACAGAAUUUUGUGUAUUAUUAAAAAUACUCCAAAGUUUUUUCCAUCCAAAAAAAGAAAAAAAAAAUACCCCAAAGUGAUUUACUAUGAUAUAACGCACUAAAUAAUAAUAUUAAAUUUUAAGAGAAUCGAUCACACACUUCUAUGAUGGAAAUGUAAAUCUCUUGCUAUUUCCUUUAGUCUUAUUAACACGAUCUUCCGAGCUCGAUUCAUAUGGAUUAGGAUUUUCAUACUUUUUUUGUAGUUUAUCUCUUUGAACAUUCUAAAUAGAUCGGAUUGUAGUAGGUGGAAAAAAUGUAGGUUUAGUGCCAACUUACAACUAAACGUCAUCCUUUAUUGCAGAUCUCAAAGUUCUUUUUGAAGUUGGUGUUGGCUCUGUGUUGCUGGUUCAACUAAAACUCCACCAUGGAGUGUUUAGCCCCUGUCAUUGGUGAGACUUUGCGUUUGAUGUACGUCUCAACGUUCUCAAGAGUCGCUAAUGCAAUAAAGUUCAAAUCAAACGUCAAAGCUCUUAAUGAUUCACUCGAGAGAUUGACAAAGCUUAAGGGUAACAUGAGUGAAGAUCAUGAAACUUUGCUGACCAAAGAUAAACCCUUGAGACUCAAGCUAAUGCGUUGGCAAAGAGAAGCAGAAGAAGUUAUCUCUAAAGCAAGGUUAAAACUUGAGGAACGGGUUUCAUGUGGUAUGUCAUUGAGAUCUAGGAUGAGUAGGAAACUUGUCAAGAUUCUCGAUGAAGUGAAAAUGCUUGAGAAGGAUGGCAGAGAGUUUGUCGACAUGCUUUCUGUGGAAUCUACACCAGAAAGAGUUGAACAUGUUCGAGGGGUCUCAGUUGUUCAUCAAACAAUGGCGUCAAAUAUGUUGGCCAAAUUAGAGAUGGUUUGAUAAGCGAUAAAACCCAAAAGAUUGGUGUUUGGGGCAUGGGAGGAGUAGGAAAAACGACAUUGGUCAGGACGUUGAACAACAAGCUUCGGGAAGAGGCUGCUACUCAACCAUUUGGCUUGGUGAUCUUUGUAAUAGUUUCGAAAGAGUUUGAUCCAAAAGGAGUCCAAAAGCAGAUUGCGGAGAGACUGGAUAUCGACACCCAAAUGGAAGAAAGUGAAGAGAAGUUGGCAAGAAGGAUUUAUGUUGGACUGAUGAAAGAGAGAAACUUUCUUCUCAUUCUUGAUGACGUUUGGAAACCCAUUGAUUUGGAUCUUUUGGGCAUUCCACGAAGGGAAGAGAAUAAAGGUUCAAAAGUCAUUCUGACUUCCAGGUUUUUAGAGGUUUGUCGCAGCAUGAGAACAGAUCUUGAUGUUAGAGUGGACUGCUUACUUGAAGAAGACGCUUGGGAAUUGUUUUGCAGAAAUGCAGGGGAUGUUGUGAAGUCAGACCAUGUUAGGUCAAUUGCAAAAGCCGUUUCACUUGAGUGUGGUGGAUUGCCUCUGGCUAUCAUCACAGUCGGAACAGCUAUGCGGGGAAGUAAAAAUGUCAAGCUGUGGAAUCAUGUCUUGAGUAAGCUAAGUAAAUCAGUACCUUGGAUCAAAAGCAUUGAAGAGAAGAUCUUCCAGCCAUUGAAAUUGAGCUACGAUUUUUUGGAAGGCAAGGCAAAGUUUUGUUUUCUCCUUUGUGCUUUGUUUCCUGAAGACUACUCUAUUGAAGUUUCAGAGCUUGUAAGAUAUUGGAUGGCUGAAGGAUUCAUGGAGGAACAAGGUUCCCAAGAGGAAUCCAUGAACGAGGGAAUCGCAAUUGUGGAGAGUUUAAAGGAUUAUUGUUUGUUAGAAGAUGGUGCUCGUAGAGACACGGUUAAGAUGCACGAUGUUGUCCGUGAUUUUGCCAUAUGGAUCAUGUCUUCCUCACAAGAUGAUUGCCAUUCCCUUGUCAUGUCUGGUACAGGUUUGCAAGAUAUUAGACAAGAUAAGUUUGUUUCUUCUCUUGGAAGGGUUUCUUUGAUGAACAAUAAACUAGAAAGCCUUCCUGAUCUCGCAGAAGAGUCAUGCGUCAAAACCUCAACCUUACUGCUACAAGGAAACUCUCUUCUAAAGGAAGUACCCAUUGGAUUCUUGCAAGCAUUUCCAGCUCUUCGAAUCUUGAAUCUAAGUGGGACUCGCAUUAAGUCAUUUCCAAGUUGCUCUCUUUUGCGUCUUUCCAGUCUUCAUUCUCUCUUCUUAAGAGAAUGUUUUAACCUUGUAGAACUACCUUCACUAAAAACCUUUGCCAAACUUGAGCUACUUGAUCUCUGUGGCACACAUAUCCACGAAUUUCCAAGAGGGUUGGAAGAAUUAAAGAGCUUCAGACACCUUGACCUUUCACGAACACUUCACCUUGAAAGCAUUCCAGCGAGAGUUGUUUCGCGGUUAUCAAGCUUGGAGACACUCGACAUGACAUCAAGUCAUUACCGCUGGAGCGUGCAGGAAGAAACACAAAAGGGGCAAGCAACAGUUGAAGAGAUAGGAUGCCUCCAGCGUUUACAGGUUCUUUCUAUUAGGCUCCAUUCUUCUCCGUUUCUUUUAAAUAAGAGAAACACUUGGAUCAAAAGAUUGAAGAAAUUUCAACUUGUCGUUGGCUCUCCUUACAUUUCGCGUACAAGACACGACAAGAGGAGGCUAACAAUAAGUCACCUCAACGUAUCACAAGUAUCCAUCGGGUGGCUGUUGGCUUAUACAACCUCUUUAGCACUAAACCAUUGUAAGGGGAUCGAAGCAAUGAUGAAGAAAUUGGUGAUUGACAACAGGAGUUUCAAGAAUUUGAAAUCUCUGACGAUUGAGAACGCUUUCAUCAAUACAAAUUCUUGGGUUGAGAUGGUAAACACUAAAACUUCAAAACAAUCCUCUGACAGGCUAGACCUUCUUCCAAAUUUGGAGGAACUUCAUCUGCGUCGUGUUGACUUGGAAACCUUCUCAGAACUACAAACACAUCUCGGGUUGAGGCUGCAAACACUGAAGAUAAUCGAGAUCACCAUGUGUCGCAAGCUUCGAACACUACUCGGCAAAAGAAACUUCUUGACUAUCCCAAAACUGGAGGAGAUAGAGAUUAGCUACUGCGACUCAUUGCAGAAUCUACACAAGGCUUUGAUAUACCAUGAACCUUUCCUACCAAAUUUACGUGUCUUGAAACUGAGAAAUCUUCCAAAUCUUGUGAGUAUAUGCAACUGGGGAGAGGCUUGGGAAUGCCUGGAACAAGUGGAAGUGAUUCACUGUAAUCAGCUGAAUUGUUUACCCAUAAGCUCUACAUGUGGAAGAAUCAAGAAAAUAAAAGGAGAAUCGAGUUGGUGGGAGCGUUUGGAAUGGGACGAUCCCUCUACUUUAGCCACUGUUCGACCUUUUUUCAAUCCAGUGGACGAAUUUCCUCUGCUUAUAUUAUCAUAACGGAUGCAGCAACUCAAAUGCUAUAAGAGUCGAUAUUCUAGACUCACCCUAAGAGUGUUUACCUUCUCUGUUUCUCUAUUUUGUUCUUUUCGUUAAUUUUGUUUGAAUUUGUGCAAAACUAAACAACUAUGUUAUGUCAAUGCAUAUAUAUAUUUUGUGAGUCAAGCUUAUGUUGCAUUCGUUAGUCACCAUUCCCCAAGGACCAAGGUAAUGUAUAAUAACCUCAUGCAUCUAUUGAACCAUUGGCUCUUUAUAUCAGUCACAUAUAGCUAGAAAAUGUAAGUUAAUUAUAUAGACAAUGGACUAGUUGUCUUACAAUAGUUGGCAAUGUAAAUUCAUAUGAGAAAGAAACAUUGCUAUAAGGUCAAAACAAACCAAGAUAGUGACAAGCUCAAGCUGAAAACAAUGGCAGCAGUGAAAAAUGCUUUGUCAAUAUCACCUCAUUGAUCGAAAUGCAAGCAAAACAAAUCCCUUUCCUCAUUGACACUACAAAAUGUAGCAGGAAACAAAAGGCUAUACCAAAAUUGCAAUCCGAAACCUAACUUAUGUCUAGCCACAUUAAUUCUAGUCCAAAGCAACAGAUCUCCUAGCUUUAUGCAUUCCAAAACCUAAAAGGAACUUGAAGCAAAUGCAGAAAUAAUACAAUACCAUUUGAAUCGAAUGAUAUGAUCAUUGACCCUUCCCUGUAGCUGCCGCCAUGAACUGUGUGUCAAAGACAGUCUCGUCUUUUCCGAGUUCCCUUCAUUGUUAUUGAACAAAACACUGAAAGCAACUCAUGUUCUGACUACCCAAUAUCGAGUUUAAUAUGGAAACUGAAUUUAGAGUAACAGAGUCCACCUCACUUAGUCACUGGGACCUUUACAGAAUCUGAAACAACUUUUUUCUUCUUAGAUUUCACAUGACACAUUGCGAUUUGCGAGUGUCAGACACCGAAUCGAUCAAAAAGAGAAUUUGGUACUUACCUUUGGGCUUUGGGUAAUUUAGGUAAAAGUAAAAAAUCCACUUUCUGAAAAGAAUCUAUCGUCUGAAAAUGCCAAGUUGCCGACGUUUACUGUUUUACCGACACAUGCUGUUACUUUUUUCUUUUGGCCUACUCGUUAAGUCUUUAUUAGCUUAUAGAAAUAGUUCUCAUUUAUGAUUUAAUCUUUGAAAUUACCGGUAUAGCACCUAUGCCUGGGCAUUCGGUUAACCAUUCUAUUUCGGUUCGGUUGCGUUCGGUUUCGGUUAGUUUGGAUAUGGUAAUAUAAUAACCAUUCGGAUAUUUAGGAAUUUCGGUUCGGUUCGGUUCGGUUUGGAUAUUUAAAUAGAUAACCGUAACUAACCAAACUUUUAUCAUGUUCGGUUUGGUUCGGGUUUUUACCCAAAAUAACCGAAAUUUACCGAAUAUAACCGAAACUAAGUUUAGCUUUCAUUGUUGAGUGAAAAGGAAAGGAAGAGAAGGAGUUGCAUAUAUUAUAUAAAGGCUAGGAGAGUUUUCUUUCCACUAAACCAAAGGAGAUGGGUUGACUGAAGGAAAGAGUGCGGCUGCUUCUAGGCAAACCUCCUUGGCUGUCUCUGCACCCUCUUAGCUCUUAAGGAAUUCUGAAACCUAUACACGUUGUUGAGGCUUGUUGAAUCAGACGAAAUAGGACAUCGGUGCCGGUACUCGAUUCUCUUUCGGCCGGUAUGUAGAAUCGUCGGAGCGAGUCCAAUUCAACAGGCGUGUAACUGGUUGAGCAAAGGACUGCAACUCAAUCGUCCUGAUCGAGCAACUAGUCGUCCUAUCUAUCCACCUCUCCAAACAAAUUCUAGCUAUGAUCGACCUUUCGAAUGAAGAAGGCAGUGGAUUGUGAAUCCACCAUGCGCGGGUUCAAUUCCCGUCGUUCGCCCAUCAAUCAAUAAAUGGACCAUUUGUUACGGAGUCAUCUUUCGCUUCAAUACCUGGAACUGAGACGGAUUCGGACUUCUAGUUAUCCGCCAAGGAAAUGCCGGAGGAAUUCUCAACUGAGAGAAGAGAUGCUCCUGAUAGAUGGGAUCCUGUUCCUACCAAACUGAUUAACCGAAAAAAAUACAAAAAAUAAAUUACAAAAAAAAAGAAAAAUGCUAGAAAGAAAAAUAAAAUUUGAUUCAAUUUUGUAAAAGAGUAUUUAACUUCGACAAAUAUAACAAACAAUAUUUGGAUAUUUUGAUUACUUAAAGUAUUUGAUUGUUUUGAUUCUAAAAAUAAUUAAUAUUUGAGUUUAUAAUUAUAGUUUUGGAUAUUAUUUUUGGGUAUCUUAUAGGUUUUUGGAUAUUUCGGUUAACCGUUUGGUUAUCGAUUCGGUUUGGUUCGGUUUUGGUUAGUUUGGAUAGGAAAUUUUACUAACCAUUCGGUUAUUUUAAAAACUUCGGUUCGGAUAUGGUUCGAUUUUUUUCGGUUCGGUCGGUUAUUUGGUUAGCGGUUUUUUGUCCAGGCCUAUGUGUAAACCAUAUAUUAGAUCAUGAGUCAUAAAAACAGAGUACACACUUUUUGUUGUAGGUACUACUUGACAACAUAACUUUUUCACUUUUGACAAAAAAAUAAAAUAACUUUUCAACUACUACAUAGAAUAAAAUCUAGCUAUAGUUAUUUCCAACAUACAAUUAAUGAUUAAAUUCUUCAUUUUUUUUUUUUUUUUUGUCAAUAGCUUUAGUUAAAUUCUUCAUCCAAACCAGUCGAUAUAGUAAUGUAGUUGUCGCCUACACAAUUUGUGUAUGAGUUAGUUAAGUACAGUAAUAUUCACAUCUGAAAUUCAAUAUUUUCUUGGUCGCAUCUGAAUUUCAAGAUAUAUGGAACUCUUUAGUAUUAAUUGUUUCCUUUAGAUUUAGAUUUAGAUUUUUAAAAAUUUUAAACUACCAAAUUUUUCAAACUUAAAAAUAAAUGCUAUAAUGUAUAUGAGAAUCAGAAAAAACAUAAAUACAAAUGUAAGGAUGGUUUGACUUCAUCCGAGUUAUUGGAAGAAAUGGUUUCACAAACAAAUUCAAUAACGUAAAUGAAAAUUAAAUAAAAAUUGUAUUUGACAUAUGUACAAAGGGACAUAUUCAAUUAAUUUGCUGAAAAAAAGGAAAUAAAUAAAGCAACGGAUGAGAUCGCACUAGCUCGGCGAAUUCAGAUCUAAUCAACGGCCCUACUUCACUCAUCUCUCUCUCUGUGAACAAAACCAAACAACAGAAAUAGAACAAGUAGCAAGCGAGCGACGGGAGAGCAGAACGGAGAGACACAUCGCCGUUUCUAAGCUAAACAACCAGAUAGAUAAUAAUACAAAGGUCUUCUUCUUUUCUCACAAAUUACUUCAAAAUCUGGACUUUGUUCUCUAUGAAAUUGCUAAACCCAAAGUUUGAGUCUUUUAUGUUUUUCUUUACUGAUAGUGUUUCACUAUUUUGUUGUUUAGCUCAAAUCAUUGCUUAAUUUUUUCUCUUUGUAACAACUUUGCUGUUUUCAAAAUUGAAAAAAAACCCAUUGAUUCACGGGUUUCAAUCCUUUUCGAUUUAGUCUUUAUAUACCCAUUUAAUCAUUUCAAACAAAUAAAAAUAAAGAUCUCUGAGAAGAAAAUAAAAAUCAUUUUUUUUUGCAGGUUUGAUGCUUAUAAUUGGCGUGAAAGAGACAAAUCCAGAGAGUGUGUAAUUAGGUACGAGAAGAAUUUCAGCUAACUUUUUUAGAGAGAAAAAAUAACAAUAGAUGGUUGGGGAAAUGACGAACAAUGGAAGAAUCCGGCCAUCGUUUCCGGUGAAAGAUCUGACUAGUAAUGAAGGAUCUGAAUAUGGUGGUCCCGUUGAGUUUACCAGAGAAGAUGUUGAAACUCUUCUUCAUGAGCGAAUCAAGUACAAGAGCAAGUACAAUUACAAGGUCUCUCUCUUUUUUUCUCUAAUCUUUAUGUUUGGUUUGGUGUCUGAAAUCGAGAUCUCUCACUUCAUGCAAUCGAUUACAUAAGCAAGUCUAUCAAAUGGGUUUUCUUUUCUUGUAGUUUAGUCUCGUGCUUCUUGAAGUUCCAAGUCUGAAUUGGAUGCUGUUUUUGCAGGAGAGAUGUGAGAAUACGAUGGACUAUGUAAAAAGGCUUAGGCUUUGCAUUAGAUGGUUUCAAGAACUCGAGUUAGAUUACGCAUUUGAGCAAGAGAAGUUGAAGAACGCCAUGGAGAUGAACGAGAAGCAUUGCGCCGACUUGGGUGAGUUUGUUACAAAUUUGCUUCUUCUUAUGAACAUUUGGGAUUUAGUAAGACUUAUAUUGUAUGCAUUUGUUUGCAGAGGUUAAUUUGAAAGUAAAGGAAGAGGAGCUUAAUAUGGUAAUCGAUGAACUGAGGAAGAACUUUGCCUCUGUUCAGGUGCAACUUGCCAAAGAACAAACGGAGAAAUUGGUAAGAAAACUGCUACUUCCAGUUAUAAGUAAGUUUCAUUUUCUGCGGUUUUCUAAACUUGGUAUUGUUUUGUGUAAGGCUGCAAAUGAAUCUCUUGGGAAAGAGAGAGAAGCAAGACUUGCUGUUGAAAGUUUACAAGCUGCCCUCACAGAAGAGCUAGCAAAAACGCAAGGAGAGCUUCAAAUAGCUAACCAGAGGGUGAGGAAGUCAGAAAUAUCCGUAAAGGAAAUGAUUAGUAUUGACUGACUUUGAAUGUUUUUCCGGAUUUUUUGUUCGUUCCAGAUUCAAGCGGUCAAUGACAUGUACAAACUCUUGCAAGAGUAUAACUCGAGCUUGCAGCUGUACAACAGCAAACUACAAGGUGAUCUCGAUGAAGCUCAUGAAAGUAUAAAGCGAGGAGAGAAAGAACGGACUGGCAUUGUAGAAAGCAUUGGCAACUUAAAGGGUCAGUUUAAAGCACUGCAGGAUCAGCUUGCUGCCUCUAAGGUGAUUUUUCUGCGUUCUUGAUCAAUAAGAGUAAACUUUUGUUUAAAUCAGGGUAUGACCUGUCUUGUUUUUGUUAGGUGUCUCAAGAUGAUGUCAUGAAGCAAAAAGAUGAAUUGGUGAAUGAAAUUGUAAGUCUCAAGGUUGAGAUUCAACAGGUCAAAGAUGACCGUGACCGCCACAUAACGGAAAUUGAAACUUUGCAAGCUGAAGCAACCAAGCAAAAUGACUUCAAAGACACCAUAAAUGAGCUUGAGGUUUUUCUUGAUGCAUUCCUGUAUUCUCUUCUUAAAAAUCUAUAUGGAGAUUAUUGUUUCUUAAGAUAGUGUAAUCUUUUUGUCCAGAGUAAGUGUUCUGUUCAAAAUAAGGAGAUACAAGAGUUGCAGGAUCAAUUAGUUGCUUCUGAGAGGAAACUGCAGGUCUCAUCGCAUUCUUGAGUUUUACAUAUAGAAACGAAAUGUAUAUGAAAAUCUCUAAAUUCUUGUUGCAUAAUUUUUUUAUUAUGAGUAGGUGGCUGAUUUGUCUACUUUUGAGAAAAUGAACGAGUUUGAAGAGCAAAAGGAAAGCAUUAUGGAGCUGAAAGGGCGCUUAGAAGAAGCGGAACUUAAACUCAUUGAAGGAGAAAAACUACGGAAGAAGUUGCACAAUACUAUACAGGUUAUGAUUUGUCAUUUGGUGUCCAUUUCCCUUGUGAAAUGUUGAGCAAGCUUGGCCGAUUCUGAAAUAAUGAAAUGUUACAGGAACUGAAGGGAAACAUCCGCGUAUUCUGUAGGGUUAGACCUCUACUAUCAGGAGAGAAUUCUAGUGAGGAGGCCAAAACUAUAUCCUACCCUACAUCUCUCGAAGCACUUGGUCGGGGCAUUGACUUGAUGCAAAAUGGUAUGAACAAAUCUUCUGAAAAAAGAUCAUUCUUUGCUAAAAAGAAAGAGACUCAUCUGUUGUUUGCUCUGGCCAGGGCAAUCGCAUUGUUUUACAUUUGAUAAGGUUUUUGUACCAAGUGCAUCACAAGAAGAUGUUUUUGUAGAGAUUUCUCAACUUGUCCAGAGUGCUCUUGACGGUUACAAGGUACUAUCUGCUUUAGCUUAGUUUAACUCACUGUUUGCUUAUGUCUUCAUUAAUCUAUUCCUCGAAUUCACACCGUAUAUUUUGGUAAUACUGUCUAACCGCUCAAUAAAAAGCACGUGAAUGAUGAGUAAUGUUAUGUUUCACUGCAUCUUCUAGGACUAAAGGUGCUAUUACUCAAUUUUCAGGUUUGCAUUUUUGCAUAUGGACAAACGGGAUCUGGAAAAACUUAUACAAUGAUGGGUAGGCCAGGAAACCCGGAUGAAAAAGGACUGAUUCCUCGAUGUUUGGAGCAAAUAUUUCAAACGAGGCAGUCUCUUCGAUCACAGGGUUGGAAGUAUGAGUUGCAGGUAACAAACCUCCUAGAGACUUAGAAAUGGAUGAUGUAACAUUCAUAGUAUUAUUGAUUGGUCUAUACCUAUAUCUAUCGUAUAGGUGUCUAUGUUGGAAAUAUACAACGAAACAAUUCGGGAUCUCUUGUCAACAAACAAGGAAACUGUGAGAGCAGACAAUGGCGUUUCUCCUCAGAAAUAUGCAAUCAAACAUGAUGCUAGUGGGAACACACAUGUUGUGGAACUUACUGUUGUAGAUGUUCGAAGCUCGAAACAGGUUUCGUUCCUCUUAGACCACGCAGCUCGAAACAGGCAAGUAUCUGUUUUGAAGAUUGGCAAUGAUUCCUUUAUUAGAAAAACCGAAAGCUGCUAAUGAAUCAAACUGUGUCUUUAUUUUUUUUCAGGUCAGUUGGGAAGACCGCGAUGAACGAGCAAUCAUCUAGAAGCCAUUUCGUUUUCACAUUAAAGAUCUCUGGAUUUAACGAGGUACUAAUUGGGUUUCUUACUGCAACAACAACAUUUGAUAGUCUGGUGUUUGUUUCUGCUAACCCAACACUGGGGUUAUCUUAUUUUUUUAUUUACAGAGCACAGAGCAACAAGUACAAGGUGUCUUGAACCUGAUUGAUCUUGCGGGUAGUGAGCGUUUAUCAAAGAGCGGAUCAACUGGUGAUAGACUGAAAGAAACUCAAGUAAUGUCUGCGAAAUUGAAUACAUACAUUUUUUAGAGACACAAAGAAAGAUUUAAUAUUAGGCUUAAUGAUUAUUUUCUUCUUACUGAAAGGCAAUCAACAAAAGCUUAUCGUCUCUAGGCGAUGUCAUAUUCGCCUUAGCGAAGAAAGAAGACCACGUUCCUUUCAGAAACUCAAAGCUCACUUAUCUUCUUCAGGUAAGCAUUUAAAAUCAUCAUUUGAACAGAAGCUCAAAGAUUCUGUGUUGUGAUGAAACUUUAUGAAAUUCUAUGAACAGCCCUGUUUAGGUGGCGACUCCAAGACGCUAAUGUUUGUGAACAUCACACCAGAACCUUCCUCAACCGGUGAGUCUCUGUGCUCCCUCAGAUUUGCAGCAAGAGUGAAUGCUUGUGAGAUCGGAACCGCACACCGUCAUGUUAACGCCAGGCCAUUAGAUUAUCGCUUGAGCCUUGGAUGAGAAUUCUCCUCGGAAGCCAGACAAAUAAAGUUAUGUUUAUACCCAAAUGCGGUCACUACUUGAUGUUGGUGCUAAAUCUGUAUAUAGCUUGUAUUAGCCUUUAAGGGUCUGUUAUCUUUUACUCUUGUCUUGGAUCAGAAGGAUUAGUGUGUUGAAAAAAUCAUAAUGUUCUGAGACCAUUAACCGCAUCAUUUCAUUAAGGGAGAUUUACUCAGAUGUUAUACAUUUUAUAUGAAAUUACCAGAAACAUACAAAUUUUUUUUUUAUUACUAUCAUAAUUCGGGUAUAUUUUUUAUACCCAGCGUGCCUCUGUUAAACGUUACAGAAAAAAACGUAAUUAUAAAGAAUGCCACUGCCACGUCAGCAAAGCCGCGUCGCCACGUCAGAAAUCGCUGACGUGUAUUAAUGAACUCAGCCGUCGAGCGAUAUAGCGGCAGUGACGGCUGAGUUACGGUAUGUUGCGGCUGAUUUAAGAAAAAAGGCUGAGUUAUGAGCAAACGGCUGACUUACGAGUAUAACCCAGCCUGGAGUUACGGCUGACUUACUGAAAUCUGUCUGAGUUAUGAUAAAAUGGCUGACUUUCGAGCAUAACCCAGCCUAAGUUACGGCUGAGUUUUCACCCGAUGGUUGAUUUGUCAAAUUUUUGGCUGAGUUAUUGCUUCGACACGGCUGACUUAACUUUCUCCGGCUGGCUGAGUUAUCAAAGACGGCUUAGUUAUGGGAUGACGUUACGGCUGAUUUAUGUUCGAGUAUCAUAAAUCAGCCGUAAUGAGCUGGAUUAACGGAAAACUCGGCCUUAUUAUGGCUGACUUAGUAGCGAAAGAUUAAUUACUAGAAUAGCAUGCAAUGACGGCCGACUUAUUAAACGACACGACUGAGUUAAAUAUUUUUGGUUGAGUUACGACAGUAAACGGCUGAAUUUGGCUGCCGUUUUUUCGUUUUUUAAUUACUGUAAUAGUAUUCAUGUUGCGGCUGAGUUAAAGUUUUGUUUGAUGGCUGGUUUAAUUAAGCUGAUUUACAUUUUCGUUUGGUGGCUUACUUGCCACUUCAUCAAUUAAAAAAUGACGUGGAUGCAACAUUCCAUGUCAUCAUUCCAUGUCAUCAUCAUCAAAGGACAAAAAAAUAGGGCCAAAUUUUUUCAACUCGUCUUCUUCACCUGAGUUUAUCACAUCACCGGAACUUCCAAUUCCUCAUCGUCUUUCUCAUUCUUCUUCAAUUUCUUUCAUCCUUCUCCCGAUAUGGUUGAUCCGGUUCCGGUAAUUGGGUAUAAAAACAUAAAUACGUAUUUAACACCGAUGAAAGAGGGUGUAGAGUUGUGCAGAUAGAUGCGAAAACAACGCACGAAAAACUUGUGAAGUUGGUGCUCGAUGAUAAAGUUAGAGGAAAUGUUGCGUCUCUUAUUGUUUCGCUGCAAAUUUACAUGUCACGGCUGAGUUAUAUGCUUAAGGGAAGACGAAAGGUUCGAUCAAUUUACAUGUCACAGCUGAGUUAUAUGUUCCAGGGAAGACGAAAGGUUCGGUAAAAUUACAUUACGGCUGAGUUAUAUGCUUAAGGAAAGACGAAAAGUUCGGUCAAUUUACAUGUCACAGCUGAGUUAUAUGUUCCAGGGAAGACGAAAGGUUCGGUAAAAUUACAUUACGGCUGAGUUAUAUGUUUAAGGGAAGACGAAAGGUUCGGUAAAUUUACAUGUCACGGCUGAGUUAUAUUCUCCAGGGAAGACGAUAGAUGGGUGUAAAUUAUAUGUUACGGGUGAGUUAUAUGCUUCAGGGAAGACGAAAGUUUUGGUAAAUUACAUGUCACGGCUGAGUUAUCAUUCAGGGAAGACGAAAGGUUGUGUAAAUUAUAUGUUAUGGCUGAGUUACAUCACGUUACGGCUGAGUUACAUCACUUUACGGCUGAUUUAUAAUACAGAUCGGAAAGCAACAUUUUUUUGGAGAAGACAAUAUGAAAUUUAUUGGUCAAAUAACAACAAUCAAAUUAAGAUUCGUAAAAAUAUGUUUGAGGGAUACAUAGGAGAAAGACUAAACCGUAUGAAUCAAAACAUAGAUAGAAGUAGAAAUGUCUCCAAAUAGAUCGAUUGAGAGGAAGAUUAAACGAGAGACAUGUAAAAUCAAAGUAAAAGAGUAGCUAUUCUUGAUUUCAACUCAAACCUGUAACGAAUCAUGUAGAAUUCCAUAGAUCUCUUUGUUUUGGGUUUUGAUUUUUGAUGACUUUUUUCGUAAGCGUGGUUGCGAGUAGAUCUGACGAAGCUUUUGAUUUGGGACCCUAUGGCAAGCGUUGUGGCUGUGAGGUCUAGGAAGAUCCAGCCCAAUCCUGCAAUUUGAAGAUCUCUGUCAAUGUUGUACCCAAGUUAGUUGCAGAUUAUUAGAUCUAAAAGCUUUUCUUGGAUUUGAAGACAAAAAAAAAGAGAAGAGGAGAAAUGAUCUAAAAGCUUUUCUUUGAUUUGGAGACAAAAAAGAGAAGAGGAGAAAUAACGUGAGUUUGAGGAGUGUGAGAUUGGUGAUGUGGAUUAAUGACAUGGAUAAUCAAAUUUUUAUUUAUUAUUUUUAAUUAAAAACGAAUUAAAAAUUAUUAAUUAAAAAAAAAACUAAUGAAGGGUGUUAAUUGUAAUUACACAAAUGCUCAAAACAUAUGAGUAAUUUUUAGAAAAUGUAUAAUAUUCUAGUAAUAUUCGAACUUUUGAUUAACAUCUGAGUAAAUAUUUCUUAAACGUUAUCACGGCUAUUUGAGCAUUGCCGCGGCUGCAGCUAUCAGCACAACAACAUGCAUCAACAAAUAUCACCAUUAUCGUUCAUUUUAAGCAUACAUUAUCAUUCAUUUUGUUCUGAAUGAAUAUUAAUUCUACUAACCAUAAUGAAUUUAGGUCUAAUAAGAAAGGAAAAUAAGGAAAAAAAAUAAGUGGUUGCCGGAAUCUAGUAGUUACAUGAGAUCGACAGAUAUAUAGGUGGCCCGUAGUCAUCAAAAGAUAUAUAUUCGUUGGGCAAAUGGAUGGUUUUUUUUUUUUUUUUUUGUCGGCUGGAUUUAUUAUUUAUUGCAAAUUAUGAGAACUGUUACAUAGACGAUUCUACAACGGACAAUUCCUUCCGACCUUUAUUAGAUCCACAACUUCCUUCACCAAAAACAAAAUUGGAUGAUUUAAAAAUUUUAAUAUUGAGCUUGAAGUCUUAAUUACACAUGCAUCAUAUUUCUCGUUCGUUUAAUUUGACUAAUGUUUUUUUAGCGCAUUAAGAAAAAGUCAUCACUUUUUAGAUUGACUAAUUGUUUUUAUUUUAUCCUACAUUUCGAAUCGAUGAAUUUUUAUUUAAUUUUAUUAAUUUAGCCGGCAUCACUUUUCAGUUUUUAGGGAACGCUAGCUAGAACAGCAAAAGAAACGAAUACAGAACAUAAACAAACUCAACCUCUUAUUUAUAUAUUACUGCUAAAUACAUUAGCCUCAAACAUUCCAAAGCUAACAUUUUCAUAAAAACACAAGAUGAGACGUGGUGUUAACGUGUAUCAACAACCACACUCAUAGGCUUUUUGAGGGUUUUGUUUGGAAUUUAGUAGUAAGAAGGGAAUGAAGGGAUCUGGAAGGGGCAAACAUCAACUUGCGGGAUUUUGCAAAUGUUAGGCAAGUUCUUAGCUGUCUGGUAAAUUUUCCUGACUUUCAUUGGUUGGUGCUGCUGUCCCUGGAGUCUAACGGCCUUGGCAGCUUGUUUCAAGGUGGGGCAAACGCAAUCUGGGUCUUCUGGCGAAGCUCGCUGCAGCACUUCUGGAGUAGCGAGGGUCUCUGCGGGUUCUCGAUGUCGUCUUCCUAAUCGAACUCAUCGUCGAGGGAAGGACCACCACCAUGGCCUUGUCUCAUUUGCUUGCGCAUCAAUCGCUGGCAAGCUCUAAGGUGUUGUUCUUUCUGAAACUCCCUCUGACAUUUCUGUCUUGGGCCUAUGGGGUUGCUGGCGUCAUAGUUCGACGACAGUGCGGUAGAUGGAAGCGUUGGUGAGGAGGAAGCAGAGAGCGAGAGAUGUGCAGACGAGGACGAGUUUGUUCGCCAUUUUUUGCUACUAACUUAGGUAUAUUUUUUGUUUGAGUGAAGAGUGAAAUGAAGGGGUUAUGGGUAUUUAUGGACAAGUGAGGAGUUUGGCAUGGAGAUCACGUGUAUGAAUGCAUGCACAGCAAUAAAAAAAUAAAACAUUUCAUGCAUGUGAUUAUGUGUUAUGUGAGCGCGAAAACACCUCCAAUUUGAUUAUGUGUUAUGUGAGCGAAUGCAUGCACAGCAAUAAAAGGUUGUUUUCGCGAUUAGGUGUUGGAAACUCAAAUUGGAGGUGUGACAAGUCAUGGACAACACCUAGUCUCCGAAAGUUGCACAUAUUAAGAGCAUCUCCAAUGGUGAGAGUCCCCCAUGGGCUCUCACCAAUUGUUUAAACAUAUUUUUUUUUGAAUUUUUAGAUGAGAACUUGGGGUUUUUUUUUUUAAUUUUCAUAGUCUAAUGGUAGUUUCUCUUGUGGGGUUCUUAAAAUUUUUUUUUUUUAAAAUAUUUUGAUUUUGAUGUAAUAUGAUGUUUGGUUUUGAUGUAAUUUGAUGAAUUAGGACAAAGUAAUUGGUGUAAUUAGUGUUUGGUGUUUCAAGAGUUCAUAAUCACAUCAAAAACUUGUCAAAUGCAAAAAAUAGAUUCAUGAUCUACACAUAUUAAACUUGUCAAAUGCAAAACAGAGAUUCAUGAUCUACACAUAUUUUGAUUUGAGUGUCUUGUCUCCUACUUGGCCUAUACAAGACAGAUUUGGUGUCUUCUACAUCAAAAACACAUUCAAAACAAAGCACGUUCAAAUUUAAUAGCAUAGACAAUUCACAAGCAACAUUGAACUUGCCUUCUCCACUGCCUUUCUCCUCUUGGCUUCUCCAUUUGCAGUUCUCCAUUUAUACUCAACAAAAACAGAGAGAAAUAAAGCACAUUAGCAUAAACAAUUCACAUUCAAAAACUAUAUAUUGAUUCAACAACCUAAUCAAACACAACCAACCACACUUUCUAAUUUCUCAACAACCAACAAAAUUGUUAGGCUACAAACGUUUAGAAAACGGAAUCAAAACGUCCAUGAGCUUCUUGAAUCUCUCUUUAGUGCUCUCUUCAAUCUCCUUCAAAAGCUUCUCAUUCCCUUCCUCUAAUUUCGCAGCCAAAGUCUCUAACUCAACUUGAUAAGCUUGUUUCCUCUCUCGAGACCUAGCAGCGGAUUCACGGUUCUUGAUCAUCCUCUUCUGUCUUUGAGCUGCAGCUUUAUCCAUUGCCUUCGUCAUCACUCUCCCUCUCUUUCCUCUCAUUCCUCCUCCUCCAACCAUUGAUCCUUCAAUCAUCUGAAACGAACUGUGUUGCUGCGGCUGAGACAUCAUUGGAAAAUCGAAUGUAUAGCUACCGUCGUUGCCUCCGUCAUCACUCUCCCUCUCUUUCCGUUGUUAACGUUGUUCCGAUCCUUUGUACCAAAACGUGAAGCUUGAAGUUGGUUGUUCUCAGGGCAGACCAUAGGAGUUUAACCUAGCAUUGCCAAACCUGUUAUUUAGAUUAGUGGAUUAGUGGAGUUCACAAUUAAGAAACUGAUUCCAAACAGAAAUAAAGACCUUAAUUCAAGAGCAGCAACAUCAUUAAACUCAGUAUAUGCUUCUAAGGUUAAUAAACUGAAUCAAAUACACCUAGAACAUUACAAUCAAGUACUUAUCAUACAACUAGGCAAGUUAUCGUAUCUCUGCUUCUAAGUUAGUUUCCACGUUUUACCACAAUGUUUUAUACAUAGGUUCAUACAUAUAAAGCUCUCAUGAUUUAGAAUCAAACAAAAACUACCUUUCGAUUACUCCAUCAAGGCAUGAUCUUCUUCCCAAGAAGCAAGAUGCACACACUCACACUAUCACCCACUUAAAGAUCUUGUUCAACACUAGAAAGUAACUUUUCUUUUGACUACUUCAGAAGCAGCUGAAAGAUAUGAUUACAACAACAAAACCCAGCGUUUUUCCAGCAAAUUCUAAAAUGAUGGAACACCCAAGAGAGAAAAAAUAGCAUCUUGCGUGAUGAUAUCAAAGAGUAUCAUCUCCAAACUAGUUUGAGCAAGUUUCAAAAAUCAGUUUGAUCAUCUUCAACCUAAGCUACACAAGAUCAAUUUGCAAAUAGUAAACUUAAAAUUCCCACCUCACAAACAUAUCUACACACAAAAAUUCCAUGAAACCUUAAGGAACCCCAGAAACAACAAAACGAAAACCCUAAUUAUGACAACUAAUUGCGCAAAUCUACACACACAAAAUUGGAGGAUUAACGCAGACAACAAAACACCACCCGAAGCAAGUUUUCCAAUUUCAUGGAGAAAUUGAUAGUGGGGAAAGCUUUAAUCUAAACCUAAUUUAUUAUUUGAUGAUCGAGACGGCGGAUGAUGAUGAUCGAGACAUGAUCACAAAUCUCCUCUGUUUUUGCAGUGGGAGAGAAAGAGAGGAGGAAGAGAGAGAGAAAACACGAACGUCGUUUUUUUGUUUCCUUUCAUAUUAAACGCAUUGACUCACACGACGACACGUCAGCGGCUCUCUCUGAUUCUCAAAUGUCUCUCAAGAGAAUCGGUUCUUUGAUUAUUUAGUAGUUUUGAUUUAUUUUAAUUGCAAUUAAACAAGAGAACCCCACAAUUUUUACUUGAAAACCUUGCUUUGGAGAUGCUCUUAUUAUAUCAUGAAAAAACAAAAAAAAAGUCCAAAUAACUAUAAUUUUUGGUUAUUAGUUAUUAGCAUAUACAAGAGUUAGUAUACAUACUUGCAUAGUCUAAAUGUGAUGUUUUGUAUAUUUAUACUAGCAUUUUUGCAACACUUUGGUGACGGGUGGGUAAAAAUGCUUCUGGGUUAAUCAGAUAUCCGACCCGUUUUUUAAAAUCCUUCACAAAAAAAUUGUUGGAUCGGAUUAUAUUUAACCCAACUCAUACACCGGAUAUUUCAUAUUUAAUAAUUUAGAUAUUUAGAAGAUUUGAUUAAGAUUUAGAAUUAUGAUUCUCCUAUUAUCUUUGUUUGAUUUGUUUUUAACUGUUUUGAAUCAUCAUAGAAUACAUAAAAGUAAAAAAAAAACCAAUUUUUUUUUCUGCAUAUACUGUGAUUCGAAAUUUUUAAAACGGACAUAUAUUAUCUAAUUGACGAAAAUGUGUGUUCAACGUUCUACAUCGAUUAAAAUAUUUAGAUAAUGAUUCAGAAUCAUAUCAUAAAUAAGAUCAACAUUAAUAAAAUAAAUGAGUUUUUUAGCCAGACGGGUUUGGCGGGACGGGUUUUUGAAUCAACAAAUAAUAAAAAAUUAAAAUAUCAUUAAUCUGCCGCUUCAAUACGGAUUAAAUCUUUUUUUUAAUACCACCAAUAUUAGACAUAUUAAAUCAGUCUCAUUUAGAAAAGAUUGUAUAAAACCAAAAAUUGUCCCGUGGUAUAAUGUUACUUAAUAACAAUAUUUAUAAAAUUUAAAUAUCAUUAACAUGCCGCUUUAAUACAUAUUAAAUCUUCAGUUUAUUAAAAUAUAAAUGUCUUAGAGAAUGAUAUGAUUUGUAAACUUUUAUAUAUAAUAAAUAAUCAUUAAAUAUUAAAAUAAAAACAAAUAACGGGACGGGUUGAGAAAUUACGGAACGAGUUAUAUUUCGGAAAAGAUUUAUAUGGCGGACGAAUUUGAAUCAAUAUUUAUAUACCGCUUUAAUACGGGUUAAAUCCUUAGUAUAUUAAUAAUUGUCUCGUGGACUCUUGGUAUACCGUUACUUAAUAACAAUUGUAAACAAUAAUAUAAAUAAAUAUGUUAUAAGGAGAUACAAUUUACAAAAUAUUUUUAUACUAACUUUAAAAUUAAAUCAUCCCGCGAUGUACCGCAGGUUAAAAUCUAGUAUAAUAUUAUAACUUCAAGAAAUCGCUAUUUUGGAUGAACAAGAAAUUAAAACUUUUCCAAAUCACUAGCUCCCGCGACAUGUCAAUCAAUAUUGUUUUGUUCAUAAGUUUUUUAAUAAACAAUACUGUAUUUGUUAUGACAUCUCCUAGUUCGAUCGGGCCUGAAGUAUUGUCUGGUUUAAUUUGGUUUCGGUUUAGUUCGAUUGGUUAAUUUGAUAAAAUCUAAAUUUGAAAUCGAUGUAUAUAUUCUUUUUUCUUUAUUUUUAUUCAGAAUGAAUUUGCAUCUACUAAUCAUAGAGUAGGCUUUAGUAAAUAGGAGACCAGUACUGGUUUAAUAGGACGGCAACAUCAGUAAGCUAGUUAAGUAGUUGCAUAAAAAGAAAUUAAGUAGAUGAGUUUAGUAAUUACAUCGAGGAAUUGGGAAUGAGAUACGUUCUUGCCACCAAAAAGAGAUUCCAAAUUGGUAAGGGCCAUAUCUUCGUUGGGCAGUUGAGAAUAAGUCUUGCCUGAGUCAUUUUUUCGAUCCUUAUUUGGAACUUGAUAAACAAACCUCUCAUUUAUUACGGUGUAUAGUGCUAAUUACAUUAGCCUCAAACAUCCUAAGCUUACAGUUUUAUAAAACACACACGAUGACUGUGUAUAGUAUUAACAUACAUCAAUAGCCACACUCAUGAUCAUCGUGCUAGGGCUUGGAAUCUAGUAGUAAGGAGGGAAGAAAGGGAUGGUGCUCUGGAAGGGACAUUCACCAACUUGCUGGAUUUUGCAAACGUUAGGCAAGUACUUAGCUGUCUGGUAAAUUUUCCUGGAUUCGAAUGGUCCGUGCUGUCCCUGGAGUCUAACAGCUCUAGCCGCCUGUUUCAAGGUGGGGCAAACGCAAACUGGCUCUUCCUGGCGAAGCUCGUUGCAGCACUGCUGGAGUAGCUGGUGUCCCUGCUGGGGGCCCUGUGGGUUCUCCAUGUCGUCUUCGAAAUCGAACUCAUCGCCACGACCUUGCCUUGUUUGCUUCUGCAUCCAUCUCUGGCAAGCUCUUAGGUGCUGUGAUUGCUGGAACUCCUUCUGGCAUCUCUGUCUUGGGCCCAUGGGGUUGGUGGCGUCAUCUUCCUCGAACUCGACGACUGUGCGGUAGAUGGAAGCGUUGGUGAGGAGGAAGCAGAGGGCGAGAGUUGCGCAGACGAGGAAGAGCUUGUUUGCCAUUUUUUGCUAUUUGUGUAUGUUUUCUUGUUUUGGUUUGAGUGAAGAGUGUAGUGAAGGGUUGGUUUUUAUUUAUAGGUGACAAAGGAGAUUUGCAUGGCAAUCACGUGUAAGAAUGCAUGAGUGUGUGUGGAGUCAUGGAGAGAGAGAUUCUCUUACGUUGUUGUCGGGAUUAGGUGUUGGAAAAGAGUGACAAGUGACGAACAAUACCACUCCUAGGCUCCUAGCUCCGCUUCUGCAUGCUAUGUGUGAUUUGUAGCUCAUUUUCUGACAUGACAUUAUGAACGAUUAUAUUUUUUAGAAUUAAGAAGGUAAAACUUUUUUAGUAAAACACACUUUUAAUUUGGUUUUGAUCGAAUGAGAUGCGAAUUCAAUCUUUUGGUGGUAGUGCUGUUGGAAAUAUAGUUUUGUGAGCUUAAUCAGAAACUUAGAAUUUUAAAAUAAAUCUAUAUAGUCACGCAGGCCCGGCUCACUCAUCGGUAAGACCCGGUGCCAUACAAAAAAAAAUCUUAUCUUUAAUAAAAAAUUUAUAUAUAUAUAUAUAUAUAUAUAUUUACAAAAAGUUAUAUUUCAUAAAUUAUUUUGUAUUUUAUAGCUAUUUGGACAUGUUAUUUUUGUUUAUUAAUUUUGGGGCUCAAUAUUACCUUUUAAAAUAAAAUUUUGGGACCUUUACAUAUGGAUAUUGUAUAAAAUUUCAGCAUAAUUAAAUAAUUAAAUAAUAAAAAAACUAUGAAUUUGGACCUUAAAUUUGUUGGACCCGGUGCAAAUGCACCACUUGCACAUGCCAAUAACCGGCCCUGUAGUCACGGUUCACGAACCAUGUAAUAAAAUUUUAUAAAAUAUGAGGGAUAUAUAUUAAAAAAAAAUUCAUAAAUAUUUAACCCUCUAAAUGACUCGUACAAAAAAUACAAACAAUAAGUAAUUUAUCUCUUACAUAAAAUCAGUGGUAAUAAAUUAAAGUUAAGAAAUAAAACCGAAAUAUGUGAGACACACACAUAAUUAGAGGUGUCAAAAACUCAAAAUGCGUCAAAAUUAAACUUAUAGAUUUACCAAAACAUUAUAACCCAAACCGUGAACUACAAGUCAAAGAAAGUAUCAGGAACCAUGUUUUGACUGAAAAUUCAAAAGAGAGAGAUGAAGAGAAUGAGAAGAAGAUAUACAAAAUAUUUUACGAAUUCUGAAUCGAGAGUUAGUACAUCGACUAGUUCAAUCUAGCAAUUACUAUGUUUUUCAUUUCAAAGAGUUAGAAUGACUCAAAGAUAUGAAUGAUACAAAAUCCGAUCCAUAAGACCCAUUAUAUUCUCGAACUUUCCAACCACGUUUAGCUUAAACCAAAGUAAACCCUUUCAAAACCAGACUAAUGGCUCUUUCAGAAAUCUGCAUGCAGCUCUUAACCAGAACUAAUUGUGUUCCCAGAACAACAUCAACACGUUUUUACAAGACAUUGUUUUCUCUGUUUGUUUGAUUGGUAACGUUUUACACUCUUGACCACAAUGGCUAGCCCUUUUUUACAACAAUUGUUAGCGACUAUCGGUCAAACCGAUCAUGUAUGUAAAUUAUAUCAUUUUUGAAUUUCGCUUCCACGGGAUCAUAUCUAAUGUACAAUUAAAUGGCAUGUCUCUUCCACUUGAUGGCGUGCAAAUUCUUGAGGCCAAAAUAGAUAUUAAAACGCACGUGGUAGGGCGGUGGUAACUGGGACUAUGGUGUAAAUACAGACCAGCAUGAUGCUUCAUUCUUAUAGAGAACAAAUUUUCUGCGUGUUGGAUCACUUGGAACUGUGCUUUGGUCAAGUGUUUUAUCCAUGGUGUAGUUUGCCGCACACUCUUGCAAACAAAUUAUUCACCCUUGAAAGUAGUCAGCGCAUAGCCCUAAGUUUUAGUAUGUGUGCAGUGCCGGUCCGGUGAAAUCCGGGGCCAAAUACGAAAAGAAAAAUUGGGGUUUUUUUUAAAAGUAGAAACUGCUAAAAAAUUUUUUUUUGCUAAUUAUGGAGCAUUUAUAAUUUUUAUUUAACAAUUUUUCUUAAAUUUUAAAGAUUUUUUGCUAAUUAUGAGGCCUUUUUGCUAAUUGUGAAGUCUUUUUUUGUUAAUUUUUGAGGCCUCUUUUACUAUUUUGAAGCUUUUUUUUGUUAAUUUUUGAGGCCUCUUUUACUAAUUUUGAAGUCUAUUUCAUAAUUUUAGGGCCUCAAAAAAAAAAAAAAAAAAUUCUUCACAAAAUGAGCCUCGAAAAUUUGAGACCCAAUACAAAUGAUUCACCAAAAUGGGUGAAGGGCCGGGCCUGUAUGUGUACGCGCGAGUCGGUGACUGAACACCAAGUGCUAUACCAAGAAAGAAAUAGCUAGCAUGCAAAAAUGUUCUUUGCAUAUAUCAUAUCAUGCCUGGGCAUUCGGAUUUCAGAUCGGAUUCGGUUCGGAUUUAUUCGGAUUCAGAUAAUUCGGGUAGGAGAUUUUAUUAUCCGUUCGGAUUUUAUGACUAUUCGGAUCGGAUUCGGUUCGGAUAGUAUCGGAUUCGGAUCGGUUUCAGAUCGGUUUUGGAUUGUUUUUCGAGUAAAAAAAACUAAAAAAUGUUCAAUUCAAAUAAAAAAAUAGUUUAAUCUUACUAAAAUUUGGCUAAGUUUUCCAAAAAUAUGUAUAAUUUUAACAAAUAUAACUAAAAACUUUCUGAUAUCUAGGUUAUUUAGGAUAUUUUUGUUAUUUGUUAUAAAAUUAUAGCUAAAUAUAACUAAUAUUUUUGGAUAUAUAAUUUUAUUUUCGGUUUUCGGAUAUCCUUUCGGUUUUCGGUUCAGAUGUGGUUCGAUUCGGAUAAUUCGGAUAGGAGAAUUCAUUAUCUGUUCGGGUUUUGUGACUAUUUGGUUCGGAUUCGGAGCCAGAUUUUUUGGAUCGGUUUCGGAUUGGUUUUCGGAUUUUAUGCCCAGGCCUAAUCAUAUGGAUAAAUGUUUAAUACUUAAGAGUUGAUAAGAUGAUCUAGAAUUAGUUGCAAAUUAUCUUCACCAUAUCUUCAGUUGUGAGAAACAUAUAAUUGAUUGUUAGAGCCUAGAGGGGCACAGUCAUAGAGCAGUUUUUAAUUGGUAUUUUGCUUAACCUGUAAAUUUGAUUGAAAAAUAUUUCGGACCACCUAGAGAGAGCGUAUGCAAGUGAAAAUUAAACAUAAACAAAACUCUUAUUUAUUAAGGACUUGUGCUAAUUACAUUAAUCUCAAACAUCCAAAACUUACAUUUUCAUAAAACACACGAUGAGGUGUGGUGUUAACAUGUAUCAACAACCACACGCUCAUACGCUCGAUGGUUUUGUUUGGAAUCUAGUAGUAAGGAGGGAAGAAGGGGAUGGUGGUCUGGAAGGGGCAUUCACCAACUUGCUGGAUCCUGCAAACCUUAGGCAAGUACUUAGCUGUCUGGUAAAUUUUCCUGGAUUGGAAUGGUCCGUGCUGUCCCUGGAGUCUAACGGCUCUAGCCGCCUGUUUCAAGGUGGGGCAAACGCAAACUGGCUCUUCCUGGCGAAGCUCGUUGCAGCACUGCUGGAGUAGCUGGUGUCCCUGCUGGGGGCCCUGUGGGUUCUCCAUAUCGUCUUCGAAAUCGAACUCAUCUUCACCACCACGACCUUGCCUUGUUUGCUUCUGCAUGAAUCUCUGGCAAGCUCUUAGGUGCUGUGAUUGCUGGAACUCCUUCUGGCAUCUCUGUCUUGGGCCCAUGGGGUUGGUGGCGUCAUCUUCGUUGAACUCGACGACGGUGCGGUAGAUGGAAGCGUUGGUGAGGAGGAAGCAGAGGGCGAGAGUUGCGCAGACGAGGAAAAGCUUGUUCGCCAUUUG